GAUGAAGAACGUAGCGAAAUGCGAUACGUAGUGUGAAUUGCAGAAUUCAGUGAAUCAUCGAAUCUUUGAACGCACAUUGCGCCCCUUGGUAUUCCGGGGGGCAUGCCUGUUCGAGCGUCAUUAUAACCCCUCAAGCUCGGCUUGGUGUUGGGGCCUGCCGACUGGCAGCCCUUAAAAUCAGUGGCGGCGCCAUCUGGCUCUAAGCGUAGUAAUUUCUCUCGCUAUAGAGUCCCGGUGGAUGCUUGCCAGCAACCCCCAACUUUCUAUGGUUGACCUCGGAUCAGGUAGGGAUACCCGCUGAACUUAAGCAUAUCAAUAAGCGGAGGA
RNAcentral lists this unclassified non-coding RNA (327 nucleotides) under soil metagenome. RNAcentral describes it as "partial contains 5.8S ribosomal RNA, internal transcribed spacer 2, and large subunit ribosomal RNA". The stretch from base 1 to 120 matches the Rfam family "5.8S ribosomal RNA", at positions 35 to 154 of the family's 154-position model. The record is from RNAcentral.